This 749-nucleotide ribosomal RNA is filed under the name Kocuria palustris. Its description in RNAcentral is "bacterial SSU rRNA". It matches the Rfam family "Bacterial small subunit ribosomal RNA", at positions 73 to 833 of the family's 1533-position model. The record is from RNAcentral. Lineage: Bacteria; Bacillati; Actinomycetota; Actinomycetes; Micrococcales; Micrococcaceae.
CACCAGCUUGCUGGUGUGGAUGAGUGGCGAACGGGUGAGUAAUACGUGAGUAACCUGCCCUUGACUCUGGGAUAAGCCCGGGAAACUGGGUCUAAUACUGGAUGCUACAUGUCACCGCAUGGUGGUGUGUGGAAAGGGUUUACUGGUCUUGGAUGGGCUCACGGCCUAUCAGCUUGUUGGUGAGGUAAUGGCUCACCAAGGCGACGACGGGUAGCCGGCCUGAGAGGGUGACCGGCCACACUGGGACUGAGACACGGCCCAGACUCCUACGGGAGGCAGCAGUGGGGAAUAUUGCACAAUGGGCGAAAGCCUGAUGCAGCGACGCCGCGUGAGGGAUGACGGCCUUCGGGUUGUAAACCUCUUUCAGCAGGGAAGAAGCCACAAGUGACGGUACCUGCAGAAGAAGCGCCGGCUAACUACGUGCCAGCAGCCGCGGUAAUACGUAGGGCGCAAGCGUUGUCCGGAAUUAUUGGGCGUAAAGAGCUCGUAGGCGGUUUGUCGCGUCUGCUGUGAAAGCCCGGGGCUUAACCCCGGGUGUGCAGUGGGUACGGGCAGACUAGAGUGCAGUAGGGGAGACUGGAAUUCCUGGUGUAGCGGUGGAAUGCGCAGAUAUCAGGAGGAACACCGAUGGCGAAGGCAGGUCUCUGGGCUGUUACUGACGCUGAGGAGCGAAAGCAUGGGGAGCGAACAGGAUUAGAUACCCUGGUAGUCCAUGCCGUAAACGUUGGGCACUAGGUGUGGGGGACAUU